This 1120-nucleotide long non-coding RNA is filed under the name Chrysolophus pictus (golden pheasant). RNAcentral's name for it is "lncRNA (ENSCPIG00010003349.1)". The record is from RNAcentral. Lineage: Eukaryota; Metazoa; Chordata; Aves; Galliformes; Phasianidae.
UGACGACCCCCCCCUUAUUGCCGUGGGGCGGAGAUGGAAGACCGCAAAGGGGGGGCGGCCCUAUAGGGUGCCCCGUGUCCUAUAGGGGGCGCCCGGCCCGACGGGGGCACUGCUGGCCCCAUAGCAACGAUCCCGGCCCCAUAGGAGUGGUCCCGGCCCCACAGAUGCUCCUGACCCCACAGGAGUGGUCCCGGCCCUAUAGGAUCCACCCGGCCCUAUAAGAGCUGUCCCAGCCCCACGGGGUCCUCCCGGCCCCAUAGGAGUCUUCCCAGCCCUAUAGGGUCCUCCCGGCCCUAUAGGAAUGGUCCUGGCCCUAUAGGGGCACUACUGGGCACCUACGGGAGCUCCCGGCCCUAUAGGAGUGGUCCCAGCCCCAUAGAGAUGCUCCCGGCCCCAUAUGGGCACUUAUGGCCCCAUACGGACACUCCUGGUCCUAUAUGAAUGCUUACGGCCCCAUAGGGACGCUCCCAGCCCUAUAUGGGCGCUUACGGCCCCAUAGGACACUUCUGGUCUUAUAGGGAUUUGUCCUUGGCCUUACAGAGAUGCUCCUGGUCCCAUACAGACCCUCCUGGUCCCAUACAGCUGCUCCCGGCCCCAUAUGGAUGAUCCUGGUCCCACAAAGACGUUUCCAGUCCCAUACAGACAGUCCUGGUCCCAUACAGAUGCUCUUGGUCCCAUAUGGAUGCUCCUGGUCCCAUACAGACCCUCCUGGUCCCAUAUGGCUUCUCCUGGUCCCACACACAUGUUCCCAGUCCCAUACAGCUGCUCCCGGUCCCAUAUGGAUGUUCCUGGUCCCAUACAGAUCCUCUUGGUCCCAUACAGAUGCUCUCAAUCCCAUACAGAUGUUCCUGGUCCCAUAUUGCUGCUCCUGGUCCCAUACAGAUGCUCUCAAUCCCAUACAGAUGUUCCUGGUCCCAUACAGAUGUUCCUGGUCCCAUAUAGACAGUCCUGGUCCCAUAUUGCUGCUCCUGGUCCCAUAGAGAUGCUCUCGAUCCCAUAUGGAUGUCCCUGGUCCCAUACGGAUGCUCCCGGUCCCAUAUAAACCCUACAGGACCCCCACGGGUGGGGUGGUGGUGUGUGGGGUCUCCAUGCCCCCCCCUUCACCCACGGGUGCUCAGAG